RNAcentral lists this ribosomal RNA (583 nucleotides) under Hanseniaspora guilliermondii. RNAcentral's name for it is "partial large subunit ribosomal RNA". It matches the Rfam family "Eukaryotic large subunit ribosomal RNA", at positions 70 to 668 of the family's 3401-position model. Lineage: Eukaryota; Fungi; Ascomycota; Saccharomycetes; Saccharomycodales; Saccharomycodaceae. The record is from RNAcentral.
CGGGGAUACCUUAGUACGGCGAGUGAAGCGGUAAAAGCUCAAAUUUGAAAUCUGGUACUUUCAGUGCCCGAGUUGUAAUUUGUAGAAUUUGUCUUUGAUUAGGUCCUUGUCUAUGUUCCUUGGAACAGGACGUCAUAGAGGGUGAGAAUCCCGUUUGGCGAGGAUACCUUUUCUCUGUAAGACUUUUUCGAAGAGUCGAGUUGUUUGGGAAUGCAGCUCAAAGUGGGUGGUAAAUUCCAUCUAAAGCUAAAUAUUGGCGAGAGACCGAUAGCGAACAAGUACAGUGAUGGAAAGAUGAAAAGAACUUUGAAAAGAGAGUGAAAAAGUACGUGAAAUUGUUGAAAGGGAAGGGCAUUUGAUCAGACAUGGUGUUUUUUGCAUGCACUCGCCUCUCGUGGGCUUGGGCCUCUCAAAAAUUUCACUGGGCCAACAUCAGUUCUGGCAGCAGGAUAAAUCAUUAAGAAUGUAGCUACCUCGGUAGUGUUAUAGCUUAUUGGAAUACUGCUAGCUGGGAUUGAGGACUGCGCUUCGGCAAGGAUGUUGGCAUAAUGGUUAAAUGCCGCCCGUCUUGAACCACGGACCA